Uloborus diversus is the source of this 360-nucleotide long non-coding RNA. RefSeq lists it as uncharacterized. The transcript has 3 exons. The record is from RefSeq and is a predicted model, not a curated record. NCBI's taxonomy places the organism in Eukaryota, Metazoa, Arthropoda, Arachnida, Araneae, Uloboridae.
GCGGAUGCCGUAGCGGUCAGAAAUCAUUAUCGCCGAAGACGAAGUUUUUGGUAUCUUCUCAUCCGGGAUUGAUUGCUGAUGCUGUCCACUUUGAACCCUCUCAGCACUGGAACCUUCCAAAGUGAGCCGGAGAAUUUAUUGAUGGAAUGCGGAUUCAACUGUGCAACUGAGUGAACAGAACUCCUUGAACAGAAAAGGGAAGUUCACCGCGAAUACGCAAAUUGUUUGUGACAUUAAUUGUGAAAAAUUGGAAUCGUCGAAAGAUGGCCCAGUUGUACCUAUGAAUCUUAUUUGAUCUCUAUAUAUGAGUGCGGAAAUAACAAUGGUACUGAUGAUGACAGCAAAGCAAACUAUUAAUUC